UACGUAGGGUGCAAGCGUUUAAUCGGAAUUACUGGGCGUAAAGCGUGCGCAGGCGGUGAUGUAAGACAGGUGUGAAAUCCCCGGGCUUAACCUGGGAACUGCAUUUGUGACUGCAUCGCUGGAGUGCGGCAGAGGGGGGAUGGAAUUCCGCGUGUAGCAGUGAAAUGCGUAGAUAUGCGGAGGAACACCGAUGGCGAAGGCAAUCCCCCUGGACCUGUACUGACGCUCAUGCACGAAAGCG
This 241-nucleotide ribosomal RNA is filed under the name uncultured bacterium. RNAcentral's name for it is "partial 16S ribosomal RNA". It matches the Rfam family "Bacterial small subunit ribosomal RNA", at positions 524 to 761 of the family's 1533-position model. The record is from RNAcentral.